RNAcentral lists this long non-coding RNA (3617 nucleotides) under Podarcis lilfordi (Lilford's wall lizard). The record is from RNAcentral. Lineage: Eukaryota; Metazoa; Chordata; Lepidosauria; Squamata; Lacertidae.
AGUGAUGUAUGGAAGUGAGAGCUGGACCAUAAAGAAGGCUGAUCGCCGAAGAAUUGAUGCUUUUGAAUUAUGGUGCUGGAGGAGACUCUUGAGAGUCCCAUGGACUGCAAGAAGAUCAAACCUCUCCAUUCUUAAGGAAAUCAGCCCUGAGUGCUCACUGGAAGGACAGAUCGCGAAGCUGAGGCUCCAAUACUUUGGCCACCUCAUGAGAAGAGAAGACUCCCUGGAAAAGACCCUGAUGUUGGGAAAGAUGGAGGGCACAAGGAGAAGGGGACGACAGAGGAUGAGAUGGUUGGACAGUGUUCUCGAAGCUACAAACAUGAAUCUGACCAAACUGCGGGAGGCAGUGGAAGACAGGAGUGCCUGGCAUGCUCUGGUCCAUGGGGUCACGAAGAGUCGGACACGACUAAACGACUAAACAACAGCAACAACAGUCACACAUUCAGUAGCCAGUUAUGGAGAUUUGGUAUAGUGGAGGACUUUCACCUUUGAAAUGAACUUAUUAGUGUUGUCAAAAUAUCUCAGUACAGCUGGAACUUUGCACAUGCCCAGAUAUACUCAAAAUAUGUAUAUUUUUGCUUUGCUCUGAAAGCUGAGUGUAAGAAAUCAGAGGGAGCUGUGGUAGUUCAAGCUAUGUUCUUUUAGCACAGAAAGUCACAGUGAUUCCUACAAAUAUUCUGUCCAUUGUGAUUGCAAUACUGGGAAUUAUCCCACUGUAACAGCAAUAAGAUGACUGCAUUUGUAAUUACUCCUGGGCACAAUGAACUUAUAAAAUGCAAGUAUCCAUCUCCAAUAUUCAGAUAUUAACACCAGGAAAAGUUCCAGUAGGCAGCUGCUAGCAUUUUCUCCCAAUAAUUGGAUUAAGUAUAAAUUUUCAUUUCCUGAGACAUGUUUCUACCUUUCCCCACAAGGGACACCUCAGUCAAAUGCCUGUGAGUUCUGAUUGGCCAGAGUCCCCCUUUUGACCUCCCUGCCGCAUUUCAGGGGGGAAUUAUAUUGUGAUCUAAUGACAGUUCAGUACCUGAGUCCUUUUUCAUUUAACAAGUUAGAGCAGGGUGUGGAGAAGGGGGAAAGUCCUGUUGUGAAAGCGUGAAUAAUCAUUUUGCUGUUGGGACUGUAGCUAGGGAUGCACUGGAUACAUGCCUUAAUAUUGAUUUUUGCCAAAGCGUGUUCUCCCUCGUGGAGAGCACAUGUUGCGGUGGGGGCUGACGAGACACCUCACUGUUGCUAGGCAAAAGAGUUUGGCCAUCUUUUAAGCAGGAGUGGGCUGUUACUGGGGAAAUUUAUAUGUUGCCAUUUAUUGAUUGACAGCCCUAUUUGUUAAAUACACUGCAUGCAGUGACAAACUUCCUCUUUUCGCUGCGUGCUUCGGAUCACCCGCCCUCCCUCCCUAAUGUUAGGCUGCUUGCUUGACCUUGCUAUGCCUGUCAAGCGUCUGCUUGGGGGCAGGGGCCUGGUAGGAAUUUUGUCCAUUUGGCUGAUUGGCUGGUGCCACUUGGUUUUUGCCUACUGCGUGGCAAAUCAUCACAACUUGUAAGGUUGCGGUUAGGCAUUGGUUUGGGAAUUGGUUGGUGGAGGGGUAUGGAUUUGGAUGUGCUUGCCCCUCCAAAAUGCGGCUGCUGCUGCAAGGGUUUUCCAUUAAAGGAACCCAGGGGCUCACCAUGCUUUUGUCCGAACUCACUGGCAAGAGGCUAGGGCCACACAAGAGCCCCUGGGAGCAUUCUGGGGAGAGGUGAGGCAUGGUUCCCAGUCCCGUCUCUCUCCCCAGGUGACUUACCCUUUCUGACUUCGCAGGGGGUGCGAAUGUCAGAGCUGUCCCUGUGUGGGGUCAGUUAGUCGCUACCAAUGCCUAAGCAACCACUCACAUUGCUGUAAUUUUAAUAAAGUUGUGGCCAAAAUUAUGCCAAAAACCUGAAACAAAAAUUAAGUGUAAUUGUGUUUUUAUUUGGGGUGUCUUGGGGACCUCGACGUGCAAAUACGUUUUUACAGACAAAUGUUGGCAUUUACAAAUGAAUUGCUGCUAUUGCAGUAACCUCUGCAGCACACAAUUGUUUCCUGGAAAUAUCCCCAAAGUUAUAGUUCCAUGGAUGCACAUGAAAGGUAUGUGCUCACAUAUGUGUGUAUAGACAGAUGGGCAAAUCUGGUCACAAUGGCUUUAGGGAAGUUUGAUAAUGUCAAGGGCGGGUGCCAGGAGCAGGUCAGCAAUAACACGGCUUACUCUUGAUUCAAAGAAACAAGGCAGCUUAGGAGGCCAGGCCUAGAAAGCACAGCAACUCAUCCCAGUAGAACUUGCCCCUAUGAGCCAGUUGUGAGGACUGAAGAUAAACUUGGUGUCCUCCAGAGGUUGUGAACAACAAUUCCCAUCAUCUUUGACCAUUGCCCAUAUUGGUUAGCGCUGAUGGGAGUUGUCAUCCAUAGCCUCUGGAGCACACCCUGGCACAAAAUAUUUAUGAUCCUGCAUCCUUGUGGAUAUUAUCUAUGGUUUUUCCACCUCCUAUAUAGCUCAGCAUCAAUUAAAAGUUUACUACAUGGGAUAUGUAGCUUUCAUAUUUGUCUUAAGUAGAGACAAACAAUCACCCCAGUAUUUCAUUGUCUUUAUAUUAUGAGCACGAUUUGUAAGACUUUAUGUCCAAGUCAAUUAAUAUGCCUCAUCUAUAUGAGCUUUCAUCUUUAUAGUCCAAAUUACGACUAUGAGUCUUCAGCUUUAAAAGGGUCUAACAGACGUCAGGAGAACCUUGUGCCGCUUGGACAAAUUGAGGGUUAAACCUUUGUGGUUACUGUAAAGUAAGAUAGGAGACUAUUCAUUGCCGGCUAUAAAUUAGAAACACCGCUUGAGCUCAAUAUUUUCUCAUUCAUUCAGUUCCAGAUUACAGAUAUUGGAUGGUAUCCAACUCACCCAUUCUGUCGGCACAAGGCUUUUCUCUUCUGCAGUGGAACUUCCCCCAUCUCCUCCCAUGCCCUGUAAAUCUGCUCUUGAGUUUUUCACCGACCCUGUAGAGCAAAAUUGUGGAGGUUGUGGUUGUAGGGAGAGGAUGGGAGGAAUUCUGUUGGGCAAGUGGAGAUCCUUGUGCUGAUGGAACAAGUUACUUAGCCCACCUGCUCCUCUACUCCUAUGUGCAGAUCAGCAGAGGAGUGUGUGGGUGUGGGUGGGUGUAUCUUCUAUCAUCUAUAUCUAUCUGUCUGUCUAUCUAUCUAUAUCUAUCUAUCUAUCUAUCAUCUAUCUAUCUCUAUCUCAUUGUGAGACUGGGCUGGGCUACAUGUUUCUUCUGCACCUGGUUCAGUGCCACAAUGGGAUAAAAACUGCAUGCCUUCCACACUUUAGAUGAUCUGAAAUUUGCAGAGGGCAAAAUUGUUUCUCUCCAUUGCAGUGCUGGGCAGGAUGGAAAGCUUUAAAUCUUUCUGCUAGGAUGUAUGAAGUUAUCUCCUUAUCCUGUAUGUACACCGAUUAUUUCCACUUUAUCCUGUAUUGCAUAUGGAAGUAGGCUUUGGGCAGCCCUUCUCUGCUUUUCCAAUAUAUGCUAUUUUCAUGCUGUUCAUCACACUUAAUAUAUAGGUACCAUAUUUUUCGCUCUAUAAGACGCACCAGACCACAAGACGCACCUAGUUUUUGGAGGAGG